UACGUAGGGUGCAAGCGUUUAAUCGGAAUUACUGGGCGUAAAGCGUGCGCAGGCGGUUUUGUAAGUCUGUCGUGAAAUCCCCCGGGCUCAACCUGGGAAUGGCGUGGAGACUGCAAGGCUAGAGUUUGGCAGAGGGGGGGUAGAAUUCCACGUGUAGCAGUGAAAUGCGUAGAUAUGUGGAGGAACACCGAUGGCGAAGGCAGCCCCCCUGGGUCAAGACUGACGCUCAUGCACGAAAGCGUGGGGAGCAAACAGG
Molecule: ribosomal RNA, 256 nt
Filed under: uncultured bacterium
Lineage: Bacteria
Description: partial 16S ribosomal RNA
Rfam family: Bacterial small subunit ribosomal RNA
Source: RNAcentral